GCCAGCAGCCAUAUCACUCUGCAACUCACAAACCACUGAAGCUAAGCAGGAGUGAGCCUGGCCAGUACCUGGAUGAGAGACCUCCUGGGAAAAACUAAGGUUGCUGCUGGAA
RNAcentral lists this ribosomal RNA (112 nucleotides) under Lepisosteus oculatus (spotted gar). The record is from RNAcentral. Lineage: Eukaryota; Metazoa; Chordata; Actinopteri; Semionotiformes; Lepisosteidae.